GACGAACGCUGGCGGCGUGCUUAACACAUGCAAGUCGAACGGAAAGGCCCUGCUUUUGUGGGGUGCUCGAGUGGCGAACGGGUGAGUAACACGUGAGUAACCUGCCCUUGACUUUGGGAUAACUUCAGGAAACUGGGGCUAAUACCGGAUAGGAGCUCCUGCUGCAUGGUGGGGGUUGGAAAGUUUCGGCGGUUGGGGAUGGACUCGCGGCUUAUCAGCUUGUUGGUGGGGUAGUGGCUUACCAAGGCUUUGACGGGUAGCCGGCCUGAGAGGGUGACCGGCAAAAUUGGGACUGACAUACGGCCCAGACUCCUACGGGAGGCAGCAGUGGGGAAUAUUGCACAAUGGGCGGAAGCCUGAUGCAGCAACGCCGCGUGCGGGAUGACGGCCUUCGGGUUGUAGACCGCUUUCGCCUGUGACGAAGCGUGAGUGACGGUAAUGGGUAAAGAAGCACCGGCUAACUACGUG
This 468-nucleotide ribosomal RNA is filed under the name uncultured bacterium. RNAcentral's name for it is "partial 16S ribosomal RNA". It matches the Rfam family "Bacterial small subunit ribosomal RNA", at positions 28 to 507 of the family's 1533-position model. The record is from RNAcentral.